RNAcentral lists this ribosomal RNA (253 nucleotides) under uncultured bacterium. Its description in RNAcentral is "partial 16S ribosomal RNA". It matches the Rfam family "Bacterial small subunit ribosomal RNA", at positions 524 to 776 of the family's 1533-position model. The record is from RNAcentral.
UACAGAGGCCCCAAGCGUUACUGAGAAUCACUGGGUUUAAAGGGUGCGUAGGUGGUCCGUUAAGUUCGUUGUGAAAGCCCUGGGCUCAACCCAGGAACUGCUUCGAAUACUGGCGGACUUGAGGCUAGUAUGGGUCACUGGAACUGACGGUGGAGCGGUGAAAUGCGCAGAUAUCAGGAGGAACACCGGUGGCGAAGGCGGGUCUCUGGGCAACAACUGACGCUGAGGAGCGAAAGCGUGGGGAGCGAACAGG